UACGGAGGGAGCUAGCGUUAUUCGGAAUUACCGGGCGUAAAGCGCACGUAGGCGGCUUUGCAAGUUAGAGGUGAAAGCCUGGGGCUCAACUCCAGAACUGCCUUUAAAACUGCAUCGCUUGAAUCCAGGAGAGGUGAGUGGAAUUCCGAGUGUAGAGGUGAAAUUCGUAGAUAUUCGGAAGAACACCAGCGGCGAAGGCGGCUCACUGGCCCGGUACUGACGCUGAGAUACGAAAGCGUGGGGAGCAAACAGG
Molecule: ribosomal RNA, 253 nt
Filed under: uncultured bacterium
Lineage: Bacteria
Description: partial 16S ribosomal RNA
Rfam family: Bacterial small subunit ribosomal RNA
Source: RNAcentral